This 423-nucleotide ribosomal RNA is filed under the name uncultured bacterium. RNAcentral's name for it is "bacterial SSU rRNA". It matches the Rfam family "Bacterial small subunit ribosomal RNA", at positions 358 to 773 of the family's 1533-position model. The record is from RNAcentral.
GGAAUAUUGGACAAUGGGCGCAAGCCUGAUCCAGCAAUGCCGCGUGGGUGAAGAAGGCCUUCGGGUUGUAAAGCCCUUUUGUACGGGAAGAAAUCCUGUCGGUUAAUACCCGGCGGGGAUGACGGUACCGUAAGAAUAAGCACCGGCUAACUUCGUGCCAGCCGCCGCGGUAAUACGAAGGCUGCAAGCGUUAAUCGGAAUUACUGGGCGUAAAGCGUGCGUAGGCGGUUCGUUAAGUCCGUUGUGAAAGCCCUGGGCUCAACCUGGGAAUGGCAGUGGAUACUGGCGGACUAGAGUCAGGUAGAGGGUGGCGGAAUUCCCGGUGUAGCGGUGAAAUGCGUAGAGAUCGGGAGGAACAUCCGUGGCGAAGGCGGCCACCUGGACCAUGACUGACGCUGAGGUGCGAAAGCGUGGGGAGCAAAC